Passer montanus (Eurasian tree sparrow) is the source of this 323-nucleotide long non-coding RNA. RefSeq lists it as uncharacterized. The transcript is spliced from 4 exons. Lineage: Eukaryota; Metazoa; Chordata; Aves; Passeriformes; Passeridae. The record is from RefSeq and is a predicted model, not a curated record.
AGAAGUCCUCCCUACCACGGGUGUUUUCCUGCAGAGGCACAGCAAGGCAUCCAACUCAUCCCUCAGCACCAAAGCAGUGGUUUUCUGCUGUUUAUUCCUUUGUGAAGCUGACAGGUCUGAAUAAUCUACUUUUAAAGUAAGUGUGCACGGAGUGCAGGAUCCUAUUGCAGAAAAUCCCAGAAAGCUGGCAGUGGGAUUGAUUGGCUUAUCUUUUUUUUGGCUGGCAGCUCUUCCUGCUCUCGUUAGUACAUGAAAGUCUAAUUGUGCUGGGCAGCUCUGUCCUGGCAAGCAACUUUGAAAUUAUAUGUGAAAUGGAACUAGAC